Molecule: long non-coding RNA, 814 nt
Filed under: Pan troglodytes (chimpanzee)
Lineage: Eukaryota; Metazoa; Chordata; Mammalia; Primates; Hominidae
Description: long non-coding RNA NONPTRT016384
Source: RNAcentral
CAAAUCUGAUCCUGAAAACUCCACUUGGGUGGUGCCCACUUGAUCUGGGCCCUCUCCAGCCUCUUUUGUCCACCUCUUUCCCACUGUGCUGAACUUUCUCUACAUCUCUAAAAACACCAUGUCCUGUUUUGCCUAAAUGCCUUUACUCAAGCUGCCUGAUCCCCAUGGUUUGAGAGGAUCCAACCCUCCUUUGCUGACACCUACUCAGCCUUUAAGCACAUCCCUUGUGAUGUCAUCCUCAUGGCCACUCCUCUGUCACCCUCCUUCAGCCAAGUUGAGUCAGAUACCUCUCCUGUGUGCUCCCAUAGCAUGCUACCUCAUCAGAACACUUACCACAAAUAAUUAUACUCAAAUUAUUCUGUAAUUGUCUGUUUACCUGAUUCUCUAUUACUUAGAUCAUCAGGCUAGCACAGUACAUAGGAAGCAAUCAAGAAAUACUGAAAGAAUGAAAGAAUGAACGAACGAACAAACGAAGAGACUUAAGCCUGUGAAAGUUGAUGAGACAACUAAAGGAGAUAAUGGAGAGGACAGAACACUGGAACAAUAUCCACCUUGAGGGGGCAGGAAGAAAGAAGCUAGUGAAGGAAACAGAAUGAACAAUCAAAGAGGGCUUCUUUGGCAUGUCUCUCUCUCAGCAACCAGCAUAAGUCUGUAUGCAUAGACUCCUGUUGACUCUGCGGAGGUUAUUCAAUCAAGGCAGGCACUGACUUCAAAACCCAUUUUAUUCUUUCACCCAAAGAGCAGAAAAAAGAGAAACCAGCAACAUAACAGUGUGACGCCAACACAAAGGUACUUCUUAAAUUUUUAAAUAAAU